AUGCCGAUGCGCCCCCGUGGCGAUGGCUCGGCUCUGAUUAUCGACAUGGAGGCCGCGCGGAAGGCUAUCGGUGGAUCACGGGUGGUAGGGCGGCUUCUUUCUCCCUUCCAAGUGAACCCGCAGGUCAUCGUCGAUGAGCUUCGGGCUUGUUCAGCAUGGAGGCUGCACGGGACGGUCACUGUUCAAGAUGUGGCCAGCGAGGACGAGAGGUUCGUCCUGAACUUUUCCGCUGAGGAGGACCGGCGAUUCAUUUUGAAGGCCCAGCCGUGGCACCAUAAGCAUGAUGGAGUCAUCUUCGCCGAGUUCGACGGCAAGGGAAACCCAGCAGAGGUUGACCUUGGCGUAAUGCCAGUAUGGGUGCAGGUUCGUGAUCUAGAUUUUGAACUCAAAACUGAGCGCAUGGGCUAG
Molecule: ribosomal RNA, 408 nt
Filed under: Triticum aestivum (bread wheat)
Lineage: Eukaryota; Viridiplantae; Streptophyta; Magnoliopsida; Poales; Poaceae
Description: partial small subunit ribosomal RNA
Source: RNAcentral